ACGCUCCGCUUUCUUAGUCAAGUACUUAAUCGUCUUCAUAAUUUCCGUCAAUUUGGUGUGACUUUCUUGCUUGGGAAUCAUCUUCUUUUUACAGAUGAAAUACUGGUAACGCAUACGGAAAUCAUAGGCAGCGAUCCAUCCGUUACAUCACAAAACCUUCGAAUUGAUCGAAACUCUUAUAUAGAAAGAGAUGUCAUUGAUCUUGGUUUUCCUUAAACCCCAUUUUUGUUGAUAUGGUAUAAACCAUCUUCUGAUUCUCCUAUUAGCCUCCAAUUACUCCUCAACAUAUUGCUUGUUGGGACCAAGAGAGAACGUUAUCAUCAUCAACCAUCUACAAGUCUAGUUCAUCUCCACUGCCUUGUUAUUAAAAUUCCUUAUGUCGAGGCCAUGAGAGAUCGUUUCCACCGUCUUCCUCUUUGCAGGAGAGAACUCUUCCAUCGUCACCACCUUCCUUAAAGUUUUAGCUUUUAUGUCAUUGCAUCGGUGUUGCAAGUUCAACCCCUGUUUGUGAAGGAUGGUUUACAGAGGCUUUUUUCUAUGUUCUUUUCAAAGGUGUUGAUUGCUUGAGUGUUAGGAUUGUUCUUGCCUAUCUUUUAUCUUCUGCUUAUGUAUUAUUUGCUUGGCGUUUGCUUUCGUACUUCGGAUGGGUCCGUUUGCGACUCUUUCUUUUGAAAUCAUUUAAGUUUAAUGAAGAAUUUGUGUAGACAAAAAAAAAAACAAAUUGUUGGGGUAAAAAAAGAAGCCAUUUUCCCACUUCAAU
This is a long non-coding RNA of Arabidopsis thaliana (thale cress), 760 nucleotides long. RefSeq annotates it as other RNA. Lineage: Eukaryota; Viridiplantae; Streptophyta; Magnoliopsida; Brassicales; Brassicaceae. The transcript has 2 exons. The record is from RefSeq.